GACGAACGCUGGCGGCGUGCUUAACACAUGCAAGUCGAACGGAAAGGCCGGGCUUUGGUGGGGUGCGCGAGUGGCGAACGGGGGAGUAACACGUAAGUAACCUGCCCUUGACUGUGGGAUAACUUCAGGAAACUGGGGGUAAUACCGGAUAGGAUCUCCUGCUGCAUGGUGGGGGUUGGAAAGUUUCGGCGGUUGGGGAUGGACUCGCGUCUUAUCAGCUUGUUGGUGGGGUAGUGGCUUACCAAGGCUUUGACGGGUAGCCGGCCUGAGAGGGUGAGCGGACACAUUGGGACUGAGCUACGGCCCAGACUACUCCGGGAGGGAGCAGUGGGGAAUAUUGCACAAUGGGCUGAGGCAUGAUGCAGUACAGCCGCGUGGGGGAUGACGGCAUUCGGGUUGUAAACCGCUUUCGCCUGUGACGAAGCGUGAGUGACGGUAAUGGGUAAAGAAGCACCGGCUAACUACGUG
Molecule: ribosomal RNA, 468 nt
Filed under: uncultured bacterium
Lineage: Bacteria
Description: partial 16S ribosomal RNA
Rfam family: Bacterial small subunit ribosomal RNA
Source: RNAcentral